AGAGUUUGAUCCUGGCUCAGGAUGAACGCUGGCGGCGUGCUUAACACAUGCAAGUCGAACGAAGCACUUAUCUUUGAUUCUUCGGAUGAAGAGGUUUGUGACUGAGUGGCGGACGGGUGAGUAACGCGUGGGUAACCUGCCUCAUACAGGGGGAUAACAGUUAGAAAUGACUGCUAAUACCGCAUAAGACCACGGAGCCGCAUGGCUCAGUGGGAAAAACUCCGGUGGUAUGAGAUGGACCCGCGUCUGAUUAGGUAGUUGGUGGGGUAACGGCCUACCAAGCCAACGAUCAGUAGCCGACCUGAGAGGGUGACCGGCCACAUUGGGACUGAGACACGGCCCAAACUCCUACGGGAGGCAGCAGUGGGGAAUAUUGCACAAUGGGGGAAACCCUGAUGCAGCGACGCCGCGUGAGCGAAGAAGUAUUUCGGUAUGUAAAGCUCUAUCAGCAGGGAAGAAAAUGACGGUACCUGACUAAGAAGCACCGGCUAAAUACGUGCCAGCAGCCGCGGUAAUACGUAUGGUGCAAGCGUUAUCCGGAUUUACUGGGUGUAAAGGGAGCGUAGACGGCUGUGUAAGUCUGAAGUGAAAGCCCGGGGCUCAACCCCGGGACUGCUUUGGAAACUAUGCAGCUAGAGUGUCGGAGAGGUAAGUGGAAUUCCCAGUGUAGCGGUGAAAUGCGUAGAUAUUAGGAGGAACACCAGUGGCGAAGGCGGCCUGCUGGACGACAACUGACGCUGAGGCGCGAAAGCGUGGGGAGCAAACAGGAUUAGAUACCCUGGUAGUCCACGCUGUAAACGAUGAAUACUAGGUGUGGGAGGACUGACCCCCUUCCGUGCCGCAGGUUAACACAAUAAGUAUUCCACCUGGGGAGUACGAUCGCAAGAUUGAAACUCAGAGGAAUUGACGGGGGCCCGCACAAGCAGUGGAUUAUGUGGUUUAAUUCGACGCAACGCGAAGAACCUUACCGGGAUUUGACAUCCUACUAACGAAGUAGAGAUGCAUUAGGUGCCCUUCGGGGAAAGUAGAGACAGGUGGUGCAUGGUUGUCGUCAGCUCGUGUCGUGAGAUGUUGGGUUAAGUCCCGCAACGAGCGCAACCCCUAUUGUUAGUUGCUACGCAAGAGCACUCUAGCGAGACUGCCGUUGACAAAACGGAGGAAGGCGGGGACGACGUCAAAUCAUCAUGCCCCUUAUGUCCCGGGCUACACACGUAAUACAAUGGCGGUCAACAGAGGGAAGCAAAGCCGCGAGGCAGAGCAAACCCCUAAAAGCCGUCUCAGUUCGGAUUGCAGGCUGCAACUCGCCUGCAUGAAGUUGGAAUUACUAGUAAUCGUGGAUCAGCAUGCCACGGUGAAUACGUUCCCGGGCCUUGCACUCACCGCCCGUCA
Molecule: ribosomal RNA, 1389 nt
Filed under: uncultured bacterium
Lineage: Bacteria
Description: bacterial SSU rRNA
Rfam family: Bacterial small subunit ribosomal RNA
Source: RNAcentral